Molecule: RNA transcript, 3652 nt
Organism: Propithecus coquereli (Coquerel's sifaka)
Lineage: Eukaryota; Metazoa; Chordata; Mammalia; Primates; Indriidae
Gene: SMAD4
Gene name: SMAD family member 4
Exons: 13
Source: RefSeq, a predicted model, not a curated record
GUGGUCUGCGCGCGCGCAUGCUCAGUGCUCUCUCGACAAGUUGGCAGCAACAACACGGCCCUGGUCGUCGUCGCCGCUGCGGUAACGGAGCGGCUCGGGUGGCGGAGCCCGCGUUCGCGCCCGCCCGCUCUCCUCGGGAGGCCUUUGCCGUCCUCCCCUCGGCUCUGCGGCCGCCCAGGGGGUAGGAGCGGGUCAGGCGAGCCGGGCGCCCCGCGAGAGAGACCCCCUGCCGCGGGGCGGCCCGGGAGCUCGAGGCGGUCCGGCCCGCGCGGGCAGCGGCGCGGCGCCGAGGAGGGGCUGCCUGGCCCGGACGCCUCCGGGCGGGGGCCGAGGAGCGCUCCGGGCCCCCGGGUGAAGCGACCGGCCCUGCGCGUCCGUGGACGAGCAGCGGCGGGAGAGCGGGCUCCCCUCGCCAUCGCCCGAGCCCAGGUUAUCCUGAAUACAUGUCUAACAGUUUUCCUCGCAUCGUUAGCCAUUGUUUUUCACUGCCUCUGAAAAAUAAAAGUUGCUCCAGAAAUUGGAGACAUAUUUGAUUUAAAAGAAAAAACUUGAACAAAUGGACAAUAUGUCUAUUACAAAUACACCAACAAGUAAUGAUGCCUGUCUGAGCAUUGUGCAUAGUUUGAUGUGCCAUAGACAAGGUGGAGAGAGUGAAACAUUUGCAAAAAGAGCAAUUGAAAGUUUGGUAAAGAAGCUGAAGGAGAAAAAAGAUGAAUUGGAUUCCUUAAUAACAGCUAUAACUACAAAUGGAGCUCAUCCUAGUAAAUGUGUUACCAUACAGAGAACGCUGGAUGGAAGGCUUCAGGUGGCUGGUCGGAAAGGAUUUCCUCAUGUGAUUUAUGCUCGUCUCUGGAGGUGGCCUGAUCUUCAUAAAAAUGAACUAAAACAUGUUAAAUACUGUCAGUAUGCCUUUGACUUAAAAUGUGAUAGUGUCUGUGUGAAUCCAUAUCACUAUGAACGAGUUGUAUCACCUGGAAUUGAUCUCUCAGGAUUAACACUGCAGAAUAAUGCUCCACCAAGUAUGUUGGUAAAGGAUGAAUAUGUUCAUGACUUUGAGGGACAGCCAUCGUUAUCCACUGAAGGACAUUCAAUUCAAACCAUCCAGCAUCCACCAAGUAAUCGUGCGUCGACAGAGACAUACAGCACCCCAGCUCUGUUAGCCCCAUCCGAGUCUAAUGCUACCAGCAACGCCAACUUUCCCAACAUUCCUGUGGCUUCCACAAGUCAGCCUGCUAGUAUACUAGCAGGCAGCCAUAGUGAAGGACUGUUGCAGAUAGCAUCAGGGCCUCAGCCAGGACAGCAGCAGAAUGGAUUUACUGGUCAGCCAGCUACUUACCAUCAUAACAGCACUACCACCUGGACUGGAAGUAGGACUGCACCAUACACACCUAAUUUGCCUCACCACCAAAACGGCCAUCUUCAGCACCACCCGCCUAUGCCGCCCCAUCCCGGACAUUACUGGCCAGUUCACAAUGAGCUUGCAUUCCAGCCUCCCAUUUCCAAUCAUCCUGCUCCUGAGUAUUGGUGUUCCAUUGCUUACUUUGAAAUGGAUGUUCAGGUAGGAGAGACAUUUAAGGUCCCUUCAAGCUGCCCUAUCGUUACUGUUGAUGGAUAUGUGGACCCUUCAGGAGGAGAUCGCUUUUGCUUGGGUCAACUCUCCAAUGUCCACAGGACAGAAGCCAUUGAGAGAGCAAGGUUGCACAUAGGCAAAGGUGUGCAGUUGGAAUGUAAAGGUGAAGGUGACGUUUGGGUCAGGUGCCUUAGUGACCACGCAGUCUUUGUACAGAGUUACUACUUAGACAGAGAAGCCGGGCGUGCACCUGGAGAUGCUGUUCAUAAGAUCUACCCCAGUGCAUAUAUAAAGGUCUUUGAUUUGCGUCAGUGUCAUCGACAGAUGCAGCAGCAGGCGGCCACUGCACAAGCUGCAGCAGCCGCCCAGGCAGCAGCCGUGGCAGGAAACAUCCCUGGUCCAGGAUCAGUAGGUGGAAUAGCUCCAGCUAUCAAGUUAAACUCCUGACUAUAGACUUUUAUGAUGGAAACACGUGGCACCCAUCUUCCACGUCUGAAGGCAUAACUAGUGAUUCAUUCAACCCCUGUUCUUAACCUCUUCAGUGUGGUCUGUCAGCUGCCGCUGGAAUUGGUGUCGAUGACCUUCGUCGCUUAUGCAUACUCAGGAUGAGUUUUGUGAAAGGCUGGGGACCGGAUUACCCAAGACAGAGCAUCAAGGAAACCCCUUGCUGGAUUGAGAUUCACUUACACCGGGCCCUCCAGCUCCUAGACGAAGUACUUCACACCAUGCCAAUUGCGGACCCACAGCCUCUAGACUGAGGUCUUUCACUGCUGGGGCCCUUACCAUUAGCAGGAUGGUGGACUAUGAAAUACAAUCCUGUUUAUAAUCUGAAGAUAUAUUUCACUUUUGUUCUGCUUUAUCUUUUCAUAAAGGGUUGGAAUAUGUGUUUGCUGCCUUGCUCCUAGCAGACAGAAACUGGAUUAAAACAGUUUUUUCCCCUUAUUUAGAACUUUUCAGGCAUGGCUCAAAGCUUGAAGAUUAGGAAACACACAUUCUUAUUAAAUCUUCACCAGUUAUGUAUGAAGGAAUCAUUCCUGUCCUGGAAAGUUUAGCCCUUUAAAACGUCUUAGAGCCUUUUAUGUGCAGGACAUUGAUAGGUGUUAUUCUACAGAAUAAACCCAAUAUUACUGAUUUUAAAGGCAGAGAAGUUCUCAAAGUUAAUUCACCUAUGUUAUUUUGUGUGCAAGUUGUUAUUGUCGAACAUACUUUACUCCAAAAAUAUUGUGCCAUGUGGGUGAGUUAAUUUUACCAAGAGCAACUUUACUCUGUGUUUAAAAAAUAAGAUAGUAAUGUAUUAUAACCUUUCAUCCAAAAUAUUUUUUGCAAGUUAAACCUGUGAAGAUGAUUUCAAUUCAGAUCGUCUUGCAACUUCAGUUUUAUUUUUGCCAAGGCAAAAAACACUAAUCUGUGUGUAUAUUGAGAAUUCCUUAGAAUUACCAGAUGAAGAAAUGUCAUUUAAAUUACAUUUGUUAUCCCUAAUGGAUGACUAUUUAUCAAGAAGUAUACGUUUGCCCUGUUAAACAGUAGAUGUAUUCUUCUGUACUUCUAGGCACAAGGUUGAUUACUGUCUAGAAGAAGAAUUUCUUUUUCCUUCAUUAAUUCAUAGGGAAAGGUUUUGUAUUUUUAAAAACACUAAAAGCAGUGUCACUCUACCUAAUAUCUCACUGUUCUGCAAAGGUGGCAGUGCUUAAACUAAAUAAUGAGUAUUUUGAAAACUGCUAAAUUCUAUGUUAAAUACUGUGCAGAAUAAUGGAAACAUUACAGUUCAUAAUAGGUAGUUUGGAUAUUUUUGUACUUGAUUUGAUGUGUGACUUUUUUUUCGUAUACUGUUUAAAUCAUGUAUGUUAUGACAUUGUUUAAAAUUCAGUUUUUGUAUCUUGGGGCAAGACUGCAAACUUUUUUAUACCUUGUGGUUAUUCUAAGCCCUUUGCCAUCAAUGAUCAUAUCAAUUGGCAGUGACUUUGUAUAGAGAAUUUCAGUAGAAAAGUUGCAGAUGUAUUGACUGUACCACAGACACAAUAUGUAUGCUUUUUACCUAGUUAGUAGCAUAAAUAAAACUGAAUCUCAACAUGCAAAGUUGAA